CCAAGGUGAUGAUAUUUAGGAGGGAAGUCAAGAGUACUUGAACACAGGAUGGAUGGAUGAAGUGAGGCUUUGGAGGUGAUUAGGUCAUGAAGGAGAGACCUCAUGGAUGGAAUCAUCCCUUUAUAAAAGCACUUGCCCCUUCCACCUUGUCAGGACACAGUGAGAGGGUACUGUCUAUGAGCCAGGAAGAGAGCCCUUGCCAGACACCAAAUCCACUGGUGCCUUGGUCUUGAACUUUCUAGCUUUGAGAACCAUGGGAAAUAAAUUGUCAUUGUUUAGAGGCCACCUGGUUUGUAAUAUUUGGUUGUAACAGCCAAAAUAGACAAGACAAAAUUCUUCCCCAGAUAUGGUCCCUUGUCAAGGUUUCUUGUUGCCUCCAUGGAUAGCACCCUCACGCACCUGUUGCACAAAUCAUAGUUUCAGAGUCAUACUGGACAUCAUACAUCCAGCCUGUGUUCAAGUACACUUGACUUCCCUCCUAAAUAUCUCUCAAAUCCGUUUGUCUUACUUUACCUCCACCACCAGAUCCUGGUCUAUGCAGCUAUCAUCUUCAACCUCCAUGUCCUUAACUGCCAAUAGCACUGUCUCCACCUGCUCCUUAAAGCACCUCCCCAAUCCAGUCUCCACUUGUCUCGGAAAGUCCUCAGCCACACACAUAUAACAUAUAUUCACAUGUGCCCACAUAUAUAAACUCAUAUUUCCUUGCUGUAAGUUCCAAGAGUCUGGUAUUACUUUUCAUAGGCUCACCUUAAGUCCUAAUUGCAUGGUUUAGAAUGAUUCUCCCUCUCUAGGUCAUCUUUUCUCCCUCACUAGUUUAUACCCAUCACAUAGACUGAGAUUAAAUAAAUUAAAAGGUGUGUUUCUUCAGGCACGAUGGCUUAAGAAUAAUGUUGUAAUUUUUAAAUUUAACUUCUGUUUUGAUCUGCUGACUAGACCAUGGUUUUUGUGCUAAGUUGAAAGCUUUCUUGGAGUAAACACUCUGACAGUAGAAAUACUUCCCCACCUCCAGAGCAGAAAGAUUCCAAGGGGUGCCUUAACCCUGGCAUUGCUGUGUCUGCACUGGGGGGGGGUGUCUGCUGCCUCUGGCCUGCUCACCUGGUAGAGUCAUUAGGGAGGCAUUUGCAUGGCUUGCUCUUUGUUAAAUCAUUCAAUAGAACUGGCAGCAUCUGGAGCUAUAUGUACCAUGGAAUAUUUAGACAGCAGGCCUUUGGGCCAGAACUUUGAUAUGUAAAUGAUUUCCAAUCAUUUGCUCUCCCAAGACCUGUUGGCUGUGCUGACUCAGAUCCAGGAUGCAGAGACCAAAAUGAGAAGCCCUGAGUGUUCUGCUUGGGGAUUCUCAUGUGAGUCAUUGUCAGAGUUUUGGAAAAGAAAUUAUAUUUGUUUCUAUUUCUAGAAAGCCAAGAAGCAUCCCAAUUUUAAAACCUUCUGUCUUUUUUUUUUGAUUUUCACAUUUUUUUUCUCCUAAAUCUUCCCCACACAGAGUUGGGGUGAAAGCUGUGAGGCUUGGCUGGGGUGGGAACCCUCCUGACCCCUAAUUCACAUUUUCCCAUUUAUUCACCCCUCACCUGAAAGUGCUCAAUUCUCAGGGAAGUUUUGUUCCUGUUAACUACCUCUGACCCAACUUCUGGGCAGAGUUCACAUUGUGUAUGCUCACAUAAUCAUUGGGGAGAGCAGUUCUCCGCUCCUCAGGACUAGGAACAAAACCUAAACAGGGCUUAGCAUGAACUGGGGUUACAAGAUACUGACUUGCAAGAUGCAGGAUGCCACUCCCCAGCAGCACUGAAGAUCAUGUGUCUCCGGGCUGAAACCAGUCUGUGUGUCUGGAACCUACUCUGACAAGGUCACUGCAUCUGUUGCUUGGGCAUUUCCCAAGGCCUGUGGAUUGAGCCAUCUCAGGAGUGUGAAGAGGGUGGAGCAAAAGCCAUGAGGAAUUUGUUGGUGAUUGAAUGGUGAGGAGCUAGAAGUAGUGGUCCUGGAUGCAGGUGCCCUGUCUGUAUCUUGGUGGCAAGGUGACCCCAGGGAAGAAACUGUUACUGGACCCUUAUGCUUUCAUCUUUAGAGCAGGAUAAGGACACCUACUUAGAGAUUUACAGUGAAGCAGCAGCUGGGAUGAUGUGAAGCACUAGAAUUAUUAAUACUGGGGAAUAUUUACUGUGAGGAGGUGGGAGAUGCUGGAAGAAAAGGGGGUCAUUAAUGUGCAACCCUGGAGCGGGGAGGGCAAGGAUGUGGACGAGGGAUGGUGGAAUCCCCAAACUCUGCCAGUGGGAUGGAAGAUGCCAGAUCUUCAUGGGGCUGAGAUAUCCUCAAGGCAAUGUGUCUCUUUUCCCAUCUUUACAGACAAAGAAUAUGAAGCCGAUAGGGAUAAAGUGAGUAACCCAAGGUCACAAGACAAGAGAGCUGGUCCAGGACAAGAACUUGGUGCUCAUGUCAGGUUCUCUCUGCCACAUCUUGAGAAUACGUGCAUCCUUUGCCUUUUAAGACUCCAUCAGCCUCGAAGUUCAUUUGUGUGGCACUAAAAGUAAACCAAAAGCAGGAAGCUAAGGAUCUUUCACCUCUAAUGCACCCUGACCUUGGCUAUUUCAUGUCAGGGUCUGUGCAGUCUAAGCCCAGGCAGCCAACAUGCUUGGAGGAUACUUCAUGUAGUGGUACCUACAGCUCUUUCCAGAAGGCCAUGAAAAUCGAAUUACAUGAAGUAUGAGCCACAAAGAAGUGCUACACAGCCAAUAUAUCACACCACACAUGAUGACUCACAUGUGAUUUGAACUUGUCUCUAUUUGGUUAAAUCUGGGCUCACGAAUACUUGAGAGACAAGGCCUCACUCUGUUGCCCAGGCUGGAGUGCUG
Molecule: long non-coding RNA, 2843 nt
Filed under: Homo sapiens (human)
Lineage: Eukaryota; Metazoa; Chordata; Mammalia; Primates; Hominidae
Description: HSALNT0340666
Source: RNAcentral